This is a long non-coding RNA of Drosophila subobscura, 151 nucleotides long. RefSeq lists it as uncharacterized. Lineage: Eukaryota; Metazoa; Arthropoda; Insecta; Diptera; Drosophilidae. The record is from RefSeq and is a predicted model, not a curated record. The transcript has 3 exons.
GGUGGGUGCGGGUGGUGGGAGGCAACAUGAUGGCUACUAUGAAAUACAAAAUGAAGUAUCUAUUUGUUAUAUGCAGUAUUUGUAUUGUCGGUGCAUAUAUCGCUGGCACUGAUUGCUUACAGACGAAAAUAUCCACCAUAGAACGAAUAAA